GACGAACGCUGGCGGCGUGCUUAACACAUGCAAGUCGAACGGAAAGGCCCUGCUUUUGUGGGGUGCUCGAGUGGCGAACGGGUGAGUAACACGUGAGUAACCUGCCCUUGACUUUGGGAUAACUUCAGGAAACUGGGGCUAAUACCGGAUAGGAGCUCCUGCUGCAUGGUGGGGGUUGGAAAGUUUCGGCGGUUGUGGAUGGACUCGCGGCUUAUCAGCUUGUUGGUGGGGUAGUGGCUUACCAAGGCUUUGACGGGUAGCCGGCCUGAGAGGGUGACCGGCCACAUUGGGACUGAGAUACGGCCCAGACUCCUACGGGAGGCAGCAGUGGGGAAUAUUGCACAAUGGGCGGAAGCCUGAUGCAGCAACGCCGCGUGCGGGAUGACGGCCUUCGGGUUGUAAACCGCUUUCGCCUGUGACGAAGCGUUAGUGACGGUAAUGGGUAAAGAAGCACCGGCUAACUACGUG
RNAcentral lists this ribosomal RNA (468 nucleotides) under uncultured bacterium. Its description in RNAcentral is "partial 16S ribosomal RNA". It matches the Rfam family "Bacterial small subunit ribosomal RNA", at positions 28 to 507 of the family's 1533-position model. The record is from RNAcentral.